CAGGGGGUAGUUCAGUUGGCCAGAACGCCGGAAUCGGGGUCCGGAGGUCGAGGGUUCAAGUCCCUCCCCCCUGA
RNAcentral lists this transfer RNA (74 nucleotides) under Pseudothermotoga hypogea DSM 11164 = NBRC 106472. It matches the Rfam family "tRNA". Rfam says of the family: Transfer RNA (tRNA) molecules are approximately 80 nucleotides in length. The record is from Rfam by way of RNAcentral. Lineage: Bacteria; Thermotogati; Thermotogota; Thermotogae; Thermotogales; Thermotogaceae.